GAUGACAGACGAAUGACAGUCGCUCUCUGGUUUCCCAUCCCGCUCCUUCCCCACCCCCUCAUACCUUUCCCCAAGCAGAGAGAGAGAUAAUGACAGAGAGAUAAGGGAGACGACAGCGAAAUGGCGACAACAACACCAACAACUCCAUUCAAUGCCCGCCAGUCAGAAACAAGCGUUUGGCUGUAUUAGUGCGCGUGUGUGGGAAUGUGUGUGUGUGCCCGUGUGUGAGUGGGUGGGUGGGUGUAAAAGCCUGCUGCCCGAUUACCUCAUACUGAAAACUGCAUCUCCCACUAUAUACGAAAUAAAUGUUUAUGUGUUUGUAUGCACCCGAUGUGUGUUUGUAAUUUUCUGAUAAUU
Drosophila melanogaster (fruit fly) is the source of this 357-nucleotide non-coding RNA. NCBI's taxonomy places the organism in Eukaryota, Metazoa, Arthropoda, Insecta, Diptera, Drosophilidae. The record is from Ensembl.